CAGUAGCCGCGGUAAUACAGAGGGUGCAAGCGUUAAUCGGAAUUACUGGGCGUAAAGCGUGCGCAGGCGGUUAUAUAAGACAGAUGUGAAAUCCCCGGGCUCAACCUGGGAACUGCAUUUGUGACUGUAUAGCUAGAGUACGGCAGAGGGGGAUGGAAUUCCGCGUGUAGCAGUGAAAUGCGUAGAUAUGCGGAGGAACACCGAUGGCGAAGGCAAUCCCCUGGGCCUGUACUGACGCUCAUGCACGAAAGCGUGGGGAGCAAACAGGAUUAGAUACCCGAGUAGUCCCUGUCUCUUAUAA
This 301-nucleotide ribosomal RNA is filed under the name uncultured bacterium. RNAcentral's name for it is "partial 16S ribosomal RNA". It matches the Rfam family "Bacterial small subunit ribosomal RNA", at positions 509 to 809 of the family's 1533-position model. The record is from RNAcentral.